RNAcentral lists this transfer RNA (84 nucleotides) under Geoanaerobacter pelophilus. Its description in RNAcentral is "Geobacter pelophilus tRNA". It matches the Rfam family "tRNA". From Rfam's summary of the family: Transfer RNA (tRNA) molecules are approximately 80 nucleotides in length. Their secondary structure includes four short double-helical elements and three loops (D, anti-codon, and T loops). Lineage: Bacteria; Pseudomonadati; Thermodesulfobacteriota; Desulfuromonadia; Geobacterales; Geobacteraceae. The record is from Rfam by way of RNAcentral. RNAcentral also lists the same sequence under 1 other name.
GCCCGGAUGGCGGAAUUGGUAGACGCAAGGGACUUAAAAUCCCUCGUCUGAAAGGACGUGCCGGUUCGACCCCGGCUCCGGGCA